AAAGUAAUAUAAGUAACUACAAAAAAGGGACAAGAAGCCAGAAACUCAAAUUCAUGUAGCGCAGACCUUAAUAUUUUUUUUUUUACAAAAGAUAACAAAAACGUUGAACAAGACAUCACAAAAACAGAUUAAAAACAGCUCGAAAAACAAAUCGCCCAUUGCGUUAUCCGGAGAUAAUACGAGAGGCGAUAACAAUUUGGAACAGGGCGAGAAUCACCUCAUUACUCGGACGACACUCCAAACAUCCACGAGAGCUCCCUGAUAAUAUUAUAUUCAACAUUUAUAUAGCUCAAUUUUCUAGAAUUUACAUAUUUUUUUUAAAUCAUGACAAAAAUAAAGACAGUGUGAAUAUACUUACGAGAAUGCGCCUCAUAUUGGAACCUUAGUCAAUCAAUCUAUCGCCAUCCGUUGCUCAAUGUAUCCACAAGUAAGCGCUUACCAUCCAGGCCUUAAGCAGCCCACAGUCAUCCGCCUUUAAGUUCCUGACAAAGAUUAAUUAUGAUUAAUGAAUAAUAAACUUUUAACGCAAAUAA
Molecule: long non-coding RNA, 533 nt
Organism: Manduca sexta (tobacco hornworm)
Lineage: Eukaryota; Metazoa; Arthropoda; Insecta; Lepidoptera; Sphingidae
Exons: 2
Source: RefSeq, a predicted model, not a curated record